UCCUACGGGAGGCAGCAGUGGGGAAUAUUGGACAAUGGGGGGAACCCUGAUCCAGCCAUGCCGCGUGUGUGAAGAAGGCCUUUUGGUUGUAAAGCACUUUAAGCGAGGAGGAGGCUACCGAGAUUAAUACUCUUGGAUAGUGGACGUUACUCGCAGAAUAAGCACCGGCUAACUCUGUGCCAGCAGCCGCGGUAAUACAGAGGGUGCGAGCGUUAAUCGGAUUUACUGGGCGUAAAGCGUACGUAGGUGGUCUUUUAAGUCGGAUGUGAAAUCCCUGAGCUUAACUUAGGAAUUGCAUUCGAUACUGGGAGACUAGAGUAUGGGAGAGGAUGGUAGAAUUCCAGGUGUAGCGGUGAAAUGCGUAGAGAUCUGGAGGAAUACCGAUGGCGAAGGCAGCCAUCUGGCCUAAUACUGACACUGAGGUACGAAAGCAUGGGGAGCAAACAGGAUUAGAUACCCUGGUAGUCC
This 468-nucleotide ribosomal RNA is filed under the name uncultured bacterium. RNAcentral describes it as "bacterial SSU rRNA". It matches the Rfam family "Bacterial small subunit ribosomal RNA", at positions 337 to 796 of the family's 1533-position model. The record is from RNAcentral.